This 253-nucleotide ribosomal RNA is filed under the name uncultured bacterium. RNAcentral describes it as "partial 16S ribosomal RNA". It matches the Rfam family "Bacterial small subunit ribosomal RNA", at positions 524 to 776 of the family's 1533-position model. The record is from RNAcentral.
UACGUAGGGGGCAAGCGUUGUCCGGAAUCAUUGGGCGUAAAGCGCGUGUAGGCGGUUCGAUUAGUCUGCUGUGAAAGUCGGGGGCUCAACCCUCGAAUGCCGGUGGAUACUGUCGGGCUAGAGUGCGGAAGAGGCGAGUGGAAUUCUCGGUGUAGCAGUGAAAUGCGUAGAUAUCGAGAGGAACACCAGUGGCGAAGGCGAGUCCCUGGACAACUCCUGACGCUGAGGCACGAAAGCUAGGGGAGCAAACAGG